RNAcentral lists this ribosomal RNA (483 nucleotides) under uncultured Rhodoferax sp. Its description in RNAcentral is "bacterial SSU rRNA". It matches the Rfam family "Bacterial small subunit ribosomal RNA", at positions 897 to 1382 of the family's 1533-position model. The record is from RNAcentral. Lineage: Bacteria; Pseudomonadati; Pseudomonadota; Betaproteobacteria; Burkholderiales; Comamonadaceae.
AAACUCAAAGGAAUUGACGGGACCCGCACAAGCGGUGGAUGAUGUGGUUUAAUUCGAUGCAACGCGAAAACCUUACCCACCUUUGACAUGUACGGAAGCCUUUAGAGAUAGAGGCGUGCUCGAAAGAGAGCCGUAACACAGGUGCUGCAUGGCUGUCGUCAGCUCGUGUCGUGAGAUGUUGGGUUAAGUCCCGCAACGAGCGCAACCCUUGUCAUUAGUUGCUACAUUCAGUUGGGCACUCUAAUGAGACUGCCGGUGACAAGCCGGAGGAAGGUGGGGAUGACGUCAAGUCCUCAUGGCCCUUAUAGGUGGGGCUACACACGUCAUACAAUGGCUGGUACAAAGGGUUGCCAACCCGCGAGGGGGAGCUAAUCCCAUAAAGCCAGUCGUAGUCCGGAUCGUAGUCUGCAACUCGACUACGUGAAGUCGGAAUCGCUAGUAAUCGUGGAUCAGAAUGUCACGGUGAAUACGUUCCCGGGUCUU